GGGCUCUUGGUCUAGUUUGGUUAUGACGUCGCCUUCACACGGCGGAGGUCCUGGGUUCGAGUCCCAGAGAGCCCACCA
RNAcentral lists this transfer RNA (78 nucleotides) under Candidatus Methanofastidiosia archaeon. RNAcentral describes it as "tRNA-Val". It matches the Rfam family "tRNA". From Rfam's summary of the family: Transfer RNA (tRNA) molecules are approximately 80 nucleotides in length. The record is from RNAcentral. Lineage: Archaea; Methanobacteriati; Methanobacteriota; Candidatus Methanofastidiosia.